Molecule: long non-coding RNA, 397 nt
Organism: Anoplophora glabripennis (Asian longhorned beetle)
Lineage: Eukaryota; Metazoa; Arthropoda; Insecta; Coleoptera; Cerambycidae
Exons: 2
Source: RefSeq, a predicted model, not a curated record
CAAUAUCCUAAUUGGGGAUAUCCCAGGUAAAUCCAAACAGGAUGUCCUGGAAAUAUCCUAUGAAGAUAUUAAAAGCCGAAUAAUCUCCAAUUUUGGGAUAUCCUAGGCAAAUUCUAGAGUGAUCCCAUCCUGGGAUGGUUCUUGGCUUUGCACAGUGCAUGGUGCAUGCGCAGUAUGACAUAUUGACGACAUGACCCGUAUCUCGCCAUUUUCUGUGUUUCUUUGUUUUAUAAGUGCGUGACUCAAUGACGUUUUUAUUAAUUUGAAAAGUGGAAAAUGAAAUUUAAAGCUUGUUAAAAUAGUUAAGUGACGUGCAUCAACCACCUGCUGGCAGAACUGGAAUUUCACAAGCACAUUGCACAAAAAAUUGCCCAGAAAAAGAUAAUGGGGAGGGCAU